Molecule: ribosomal RNA, 497 nt
Filed under: uncultured bacterium
Lineage: Bacteria
Description: partial 16S ribosomal RNA
Rfam family: Bacterial small subunit ribosomal RNA
Source: RNAcentral
GAUGAACGCUGGCGGCGUGCCUAAUACAUGCAAGUCGAGCGAACGGACGAGAAGCUUGCUUCCCUGAUGUUAGCGGCGGACGGGUGAGUAACACGUGGAUAACCUACCUAUAAGACUGGGAUAACUUCGGGAAACCGGAGCUAAUACCGGAUGAUAUUUUGAACCGCAUGGUUCAAAAGUGAAAGACGGUCUUGCUGUCACUUAUAGAUGGAUCCGCGCUGCAUUAGCUAGUUGGUAAGGUAACGGCUUACCAAGGCAACGAUGCGUAGCCGACCUGAGAGGGUGAUCGGCCACACUGGAACUGAGACACGGUCCAGACUCCUACGGGAGGCAGCAGUAGGGAAUCUUCCGCAAUGGGCGAAAGCCUGACGGAGCAACGCCGCGUGAGUGAUGAAGGUCUUCGGAUCGUAAAACUCUGUUAUUAGGGAAGAACAUAUGUGUAAGUAACUGUGCACAUCUUGACGGUACCUAAUCAGAAAGCCACGGCUAACUACGUG